RNAcentral lists this ribosomal RNA (322 nucleotides) under uncultured eukaryote. RNAcentral's name for it is "partial 18S ribosomal RNA". It matches the Rfam family "Eukaryotic small subunit ribosomal RNA", at positions 1470 to 1796 of the family's 1831-position model. The record is from RNAcentral.
CCCUUAGAUGUCCUGGGCAGCACGCGUGCUACAAUGAUGCAUUCAACGAGUCUUGCCUUAACCGAAAGGUUCGGGUAAACUUUUGAAAUUGCAUCUUGUCGGGGCUUGAUCAUUGUAAUUUUUGAUCACAAACAAGGAAUUCCUUGUAAAUGUGAGUCAUCAACUUGCAUUGAAUACGUCCCUGCCCUUUGUACACACCGCCCGUCGCUCCUACCGAUUGAAUGUUCCGGUGAGCUCUUCGGACUGCGCGGUCUGCAGUUUCUGCGUUCCGUGCGGAAAGUUGCGCAAACCUUAACAUUUAGAGGAAGGAGAAGUCGUAACA